Molecule: ribosomal RNA, 389 nt
Filed under: uncultured bacterium
Lineage: Bacteria
Description: bacterial SSU rRNA
Rfam family: Bacterial small subunit ribosomal RNA
Source: RNAcentral
GACGAACGCUGGCGGCGUGCUUAACACAUGCAAGUCGAGCCGGUAAGGCCCUUUCGGGGGUACACGAGCGGCGAACGGGUGAGUAACACGUGGGUGACCUGCCCUCAGCUCUGGGAUAAGCCUGGGAAACCGGGUCUAAUACCGGAUAUGACUCCAUGACGCAUGUUGUGGGGUGGAAAGCCUUGUGCGGCUGAGGAUGGGCCCGCGGCCUAUCAGCUUGUUGGUGGGGUGAUGGCCUACCAAGGCGACGACGGGUAGCCGGCCUGAGAGGGCGACCGGCCACACUGGGACUGAGACACGGGCCCAGACUCCUACGGGAGGCAGCAGUGGGGAAUCUUGCGCAAUGGGCGAAAGCCUGACGCAGCGACGCCGCGUGAGGGAUGACGGCC